Molecule: ribosomal RNA, 117 nt
Filed under: Actinomycetes bacterium
Lineage: Bacteria; Bacillati; Actinomycetota; Actinomycetes
Source: RNAcentral
UCCGGUGGCGAUAGCGUUGGGGAACCACCCGUUCCCAUUCCGAACACGGAAGUGAAACCUGACAGCGCCGAUGGUACUUGGGUUGCAAAACCCCGGGAGAGUAGGUCACUGCCGGAU